CUUUGAUAAUAUGUGUCAUUGUUUACCAGCGUGUUAUGUGAAUGUGUAUAUGUGUUGAGGAGAGUUUGUAGCACAGUUAGUCGAACAUUGUGAAGGUAGAACGUUAAUUACACGACGAUGCUAAGCUAGCCAAAUUAGCCUUUAGCAGUGCUAACCGCGACAUCGUGGAUGAAAGAGCGGUACUUAGCUACACAGUGACAUUGUACUUGUAGCUUUGUUCUGUAUAUGUUUCUAAAUAUGCUGAGUAUUAUUAGCGGUGUAAAGUGUUAUAUGUUAUCAGCAUAAUUGUGUUUUGUUCUCUGGUGUAUUGCCUUCUUUACUCUGUAGCUAAAAGUGGGAAAUGCUUCUGCAGGUAUAAUUGCUGACUAGAGAUAAUGGUUAGAAUUGUAUGUAGUACGCAUGUAAUAUUAUUUUGCAUAUGUAAACCGUACAGCAAUGAUUCCUUGAAAACAGUCAUUACACACAUACUCUGAGGAAAGUUUGUGUCCGUGCAUCUUUCAUUAGGUAUGUGAACAAAAUUUUCAACAUGGUUAAAUGCUAAAACAAAUUGUACAGAUAGAAAGAGCUUGAAAUAUCCUUAAAAAUAAUACUAAGACCAUGUUUAUAGGUUCAAUAAUCGCACAACACUGGUUAUUUGACAGCCAAAAGUAGUCACUUUAUUUUGUCCUCUGUUUUCCACUGAAGUCAAAGCAAAAGAUGUGACCCUGCGGCACGGCGAAAGCACACUCUGCUGGCUGCUUCUUACGUUGUUAGCCAAUGGAAGCAGAUUUUGCGGGCAAUAAAACUCCCAAGGUCGUCGUUCAGAUUCACUGAAAAUUCAUUCACUUGUAGUUUAGCAACUAAACUAAAUGUCUAUUACAGUCUAAAGAAUGUGUUUACUCACUUUCAGCAAAAAACGAGACAAUUUUGUGACCGACAAACUUUGACUUGCUCAAAAUGCCAGUAUUUCAACGGGAAAGACGGAGACUUGAAACGAGGAGGUAUCUAUGGUUUUUCUGGUGGUGUAAUCAAUCAGAACCCGGAAGUUCCACAAAAAACAAGCAAACAGGAGCAAUUAUUUUCAUAACACUGCAAGUUGUCAGGGAAAAUCCCGAGUUACGUCUGUUGGAACCAAGACGGCAGCCGCGAUGGUGGAGAUAGUCACGUACCUACUUUCAUUCAACUACUCCCCUUUUCAGGGCAUUUACACUGAGACCUAGCUUCCAAAUGUUGGUGUAGGCACUGAUUAUUCUCCUCAAGGUCUAUAUCCAAAACUGAUUCCAAGAGGUUGCUAAAAUCCCCAUAUGGCCCGAAAUGCGGAGGUUAGGACUUUGCUGUCCACAACGGUAGCUACAACCCUGAUGUUUCAUGUAUGAUUAUGACAACAUGUGGACAUCCCCCCUCAAAAGGUAAUAUCUAAUACUUUAUACUAUUAUAUACUGAAUAGAUGUUUAUCAUUGCAACAACAGCUCACACCACUGUGGAAAAAGUGUAUAGUUUUGUUUUAGUUUUUGUUUCAUAACCACAUCAGCAGAGGGAUUAAUUUGUAUAUGGUAAAUGAAUCAGGGGAAAUAAUGGAUCAGUGCAGGGUUGAAUGAGCCCUUGUUCAUUUCAGCACCUAACAACAUCGUGUACCCAGCAUACCGUCGAUGCUCUAAAGGUUCACAUCACAGGAACUUCUGCCUCUUGCUUUGAGGAAACAUUUCCUUUUCUUCUUUCUGCUCCCCAGUGUUUGAUCAAGGGAAUGAAGAAGUGCGUCAUGGUGGCUCAGUGGUUAGCACUGUCACGUCACAGCAACAAAGUCCUGGUUUUGAAUAUUUUGCUUGCUCCUGUCUAGGUGAAUCUGCAUGUUCUCCUGGUGUUUGUGUGGAUUUUCCUCCCACAUGACUUGAGACGUUCCUGCCUUUUUACCUCCUCGGUCUCUCCUCCUUCUCAUCGUCCUUCGCCUCAUCCCACACGUUCUUCUUUCUCUCCAGCAUGCAGCAUCUUCUCUCCUCCUAUAUUCAUCCCAGCAAUGAGUUGGUCCUCAUCUUUGUACUCUGACAGGCCAGUCAUCCAUCUGGCUGAGGAACCCGGCUUUGACAAGAGCUCAGGUGGAGGAAACGAUGGAAGGUGCAACAGAGAUUGAGGAAAGGGAUGAAAGGAUGACUGCCUCAUCUUGGCAACCCCUCUGUGGAAUCUCAGCUCCUUUCACCUCCUUCCUUUUUUCCCCCUCUGCCUUCCUCUUCUUCGCCCCACAGGACUCAGUGGAGCGACAGAGGGAAACAGAGCCCAGCCACCUCCACCUGGUCAUUAUCAGCUACACACCUGCUGCCUCUUCCCCAUGCCUGCUUUCCUCUUGUGCUCUAACUCUUGCCUGUUUUAGGUCCCUCGUCCUCACUCAACCUUGACUAAUGGGGAUAUCUCAUUUUAGAUUUUUGGCAGUGUAUGCAUAUGGGUGCGCAGUGAUGCAAAUUAAAACCUUUCUUUUCUUUUUUAAAUA
This is a long non-coding RNA of Micropterus salmoides (largemouth bass), 2461 nucleotides long. RefSeq lists it as uncharacterized. The transcript is spliced from 3 exons. Lineage: Eukaryota; Metazoa; Chordata; Actinopteri; Centrarchiformes; Centrarchidae. The record is from RefSeq and is a predicted model, not a curated record.